GGUGAAUGCUGGAAUGCUGGAAUGUGUUCCACCUUCUGUGACGUCUCUGAGCACAGGGUGGUGCAUCCUCGAAACAUCCCCAAGGUUCCCUACCCAGCUCCAUCUUGGACUCUGAAAUUAUUUGCUCUAGAAAAGCUUCUUUACACUACUGUAUUUAAACUAUUUUUUUAUUUUUGUAAUUAAUUUAAUCCUAAAUUUUUGGGAUUCUCUUCCAUGAAACAAUGGGCAGUGGAUUUGAUCCAGUUCCUUUUGGUGAUUCCAUUUGCAUUUACCUUUGGGAUGCAGAGUGAAGCCAGAAAUACAUUGAAAUACAGACUCAGAAAAGCACACAGAGAAGGAACUCAGAGAACCAGAAGAUUUGACAUCCACUGGAAAAAGAAAUUCAUAACUUCUUGAGUUUAUCCUGGGCUGGAAUUGUUCAGAAGGAGAAAAUCACAAAGUUA
Molecule: non-coding RNA, 443 nt
Organism: Taeniopygia guttata (zebra finch)
Lineage: Eukaryota; Metazoa; Chordata; Aves; Passeriformes; Estrildidae
Source: RefSeq, a predicted model, not a curated record